CCUAAAAUGAAAAUUGGAAACAUCCCUGUAUCCACCUAAUCCCUUUCGAACAUAAACCGUACGUCGCCUAUGCGCGACCCCCAGAAAGCCACAGUUGUUUGCAACUGUCAUCUCCAUCGGCCCAGUCACCGAAGGCGCCGAAACGAUUGAACGGAAAAAAGAGAUAAAACUGUUUGUCAUCGGACAAACAAGCUCUCUUCCAGUGAACCAAACUGUCGCUCCCGGUGUGCUAUCUUUGACCUGCUGAGCGGAUGGUGCAAAUUUCUCGGUGAAGUAAGUGUGAAUCAGCCGUAUAGUGCAAACCAGCUGGCGAGGAAAGUGGAAAUCUGCCGUAUCGGGCAAACAGCCGACUCACCGGAAUAGAGUGACACGCCAACCCGCUGAAAAGAGAAAACCAUCUGGCAUCCGCCAUCUUUAGUCAUUUUCUUGAUUGGCGUGCCGAAUUCAAUUGCCCAGGUGGCUAGUGUAUCAUCCGGAGCCGCCCGUUCCCGUUUUCCCUGCCCGGUAGUGAACGUAUUCCGUGGGUCCAACAUUUCGAUGAGCUGUGCCGCUAUCACCGACGAGCCAGAUCUCCACGUCCCCGUUGACGGAAACCACGUGUCCUAUCUCGUACUCGGCCUCAAGCAGAAAUCAAGCGCAGGACGGUGGACGAAUAAACUAACUGUGUCCGAAGAUCCCGGCAGCAUGGGAGCCGCAGCCCGUACGACGCCUCGUUCGGUCAGGUCCCAGCCAAACAACAGACCGGAACUAGCCAGCAACAUGUGGUCGGAAUUACGGUAAAGUACCCUUUCCUUCACUUUCCUAUGAACCCAAAUGUGAAUGAUUUUCAACUAAUGAGAUGAUUAAAUUUGAAACUAUUGAUUAAGAAAUGAAA
Armigeres subalbatus is the source of this 874-nucleotide long non-coding RNA. RefSeq lists it as uncharacterized. The record is from RefSeq and is a predicted model, not a curated record. NCBI's taxonomy places the organism in Eukaryota, Metazoa, Arthropoda, Insecta, Diptera, Culicidae. The transcript is spliced from 2 exons.